AGUGAACGCUGGCGGUAGGCCUAACACAUGCAAGUCGAACGGCAGCACAGUAAGAGCUUGCUCUUACGGGUGGCGAGUGGCGGACGGGUGAGGAAUACAUCGGAAUCUACUUUUUCGUGGGGGAUAACGUAGGGAAACUUACGCUAAUACCGCAUACUACCUACGGAUGAAAUCAGGGGAUCUUCGGACCUUGCGCGACUGAUUUAGCCGAUGUCGGAUUAGCUAGUUGGCGGGGUAAAGGCCCACCAAGGCGACGAUCCGUAGCUGGUCUGAGAGGAUGAUCAGCCACACUGGAACUGAGACACGGUCCAGACUCCUACGGGAGGCAGCAGUGGGGAAUAUUGGACAAUGGGCGAAAGCCUGAUCCAGCCAUACCGCGUGGGUGAAGAAGGCCUUCGGGUUGUAAAGCCCUUUUGUUGGGAAAGAAAAGCAGCAGGUUAAUCCGCCGCUGUUCUGACGGUACCCAAAGAAUAAGCACCGGCUAACUUCGUG
Molecule: ribosomal RNA, 492 nt
Filed under: uncultured bacterium
Lineage: Bacteria
Description: partial 16S ribosomal RNA
Rfam family: Bacterial small subunit ribosomal RNA
Source: RNAcentral